RNAcentral lists this unclassified non-coding RNA (362 nucleotides) under Hevea brasiliensis (rubber tree). The record is from RNAcentral. Lineage: Eukaryota; Viridiplantae; Streptophyta; Magnoliopsida; Malpighiales; Euphorbiaceae.
GAUGAUGGCUAUUUCAGGAGGAAUUACUCGGCCAUGGCUGCAGCUGCUGCAGCUGAAUCGGAGAGUGAAGAAGAGGACGAGGAGGAGGAGAGGGAAAGGGAGAGGGAGAGGGAGAGGGAGAGGGAAAGUGAGGAAGAUGAGGAGGGAGAGGGGAUAAAGAGAUUGGCUCGAGCUAUUGAGAGAUUUGGAGAGGUUUAUGAGAGAGUGGAGAGCGAGAAGUUGAGGCAGAUGUUGGAUUUGGAGAAGCAGAGAAUGAAAUUCGCCAAAGAUUUGGAAAUGGAGAGGAUGCGGAUUUUCACUGAGACUCAGAUUCAGCUUGAGAAGAUCAAGAAAGGCAAGCGAUCUGGGUCCAAUGGUGAGAG